RNAcentral lists this ribosomal RNA (440 nucleotides) under uncultured bacterium. RNAcentral describes it as "bacterial SSU rRNA". It matches the Rfam family "Bacterial small subunit ribosomal RNA", at positions 338 to 770 of the family's 1533-position model. The record is from RNAcentral.
CCUACGGGGGGCAGCAGUAGGGAAUCUUGGGCAAUGGGCGAAAGCCUGACCCAGCGAUGCCGCGUGUGUGAAGAAGGCCUUCGGGUUGUAAAGCACUUUCAGUAGAGAAGAAAAGCCUAGGGUUAAUAACCCUGAGUCUUGACGUAACCUACAGAAGAAGCACCGGCUAACUCCGUGCCAGCAGCCGCGGUAAUACGGAGGGGGCUAGCGUUGUUCGGAAUUACUGGGCGUAAAGGGCGUGUAGGCGGUCUAUCGAGUCAGGCGUGAAAGCCCCGGGCUUAACCUGGGUCGGUCAUUCGAUACUGUCAGACUAGAGUAUGGUAGAGGGUAGUGGAAUUUCUAGUGUAGCGGUGAAAUGCGUAGAUAUUAGAAGGAACACCAGUGGCGAAGGCGACUGCCUGGACUGAUACUGACACUGAGGUGCGAAAGCGUGGGUAGCG